RNAcentral lists this ribosomal RNA (395 nucleotides) under uncultured bacterium. RNAcentral describes it as "bacterial SSU rRNA". It matches the Rfam family "Bacterial small subunit ribosomal RNA", at positions 28 to 429 of the family's 1533-position model. The record is from RNAcentral.
GACGAACGCUGGCGGCGUGCUUAACACAUGCAAGUCGAGCGGUAAGGCCCUUUCGGGGGUACACGAGCGGCGAACGGGUGAGUAACACGUGGGUGACCUGCCUCAGCUCUGGGAUAAGCCUGGGAAACUGGGUCUAAUACUGGAUACUGACUCCACGGUGCAUGUCGUGGGGUGGAAAGCCUUGUGCGGCUGAGGAUGGGCCCGCGGCCUAUCAGCUUGUUGGUGGGGNGAUGGCCUACCAAGGCGACGACGGGUAGCCGGCCUGAGAGGGCGACGGCCACACUGGGACUGAGACACGGCCCAGACUCCUACGGGAGGCAGCAGUGGGGAAUCUUGCGCAAUGGGCGAAAGCCUGACGCAGCGACGCCGCGUGAGGGAUGACGGCCUGGUGUAAC